RNAcentral lists this ribosomal RNA (497 nucleotides) under uncultured bacterium. RNAcentral's name for it is "partial 16S ribosomal RNA". It matches the Rfam family "Bacterial small subunit ribosomal RNA", at positions 28 to 507 of the family's 1533-position model. The record is from RNAcentral.
GAUGAACGCUGGCGGCGUGCCUAAUACAUGCAAGUCGAGCGAACGGACGAGAAGCUUGCUUUUCUGAUGUUAGCGGCGGACGGGUGAGUAACACGUGGAUAACCUACCUAUAAGACUGGGAUAACUUCGGGAAACCGGAGCUAAUACCGGAUAAUAUUUUGAACCGCAUGGUUCAAAAGUGAAAGACGGUCUUGCUGUCACUUAUAGAUGGAUCCGCGCUGCAUUAGCUAGUUGGUAAGGUAACGGCUUACCAAGGCAACGAUGCAUAGCCGACCUGAGAGGGUGAACGGCCACACUGGAACUGAGACACGGUCCAGACUCCUACGGGAGGCAGCAGUAGGGAAUCUUCCGCAAUGGGCGGAAGCCUGACGGAGCAACGCCGCGUGAGUGAUGAAGGUCUUCGGAUCGUAAAACUCUGUUAUUAGGGAAGAACAUAUGUGUAAGUAACUGUGCACAUCUUGACGGUACCUAAUCAGAAAGCCACGGCUAACUACGUG